RNAcentral lists this ribosomal RNA (253 nucleotides) under uncultured bacterium. Its description in RNAcentral is "partial 16S ribosomal RNA". It matches the Rfam family "Bacterial small subunit ribosomal RNA", at positions 524 to 776 of the family's 1533-position model. The record is from RNAcentral.
UACGAAGGGGGCUAGCGUUGCUCGGAAUUACUGGGCGUAAAGGGCGCGUAGGCGGACAGUUAAGUUGGGGGUGAAAGCCCGGGGCUCAACCUCGGAAUUGCCUUCAAUACUGGCUGUCUUGAGUGUGAGAGAGGUGUGUGGAACUCCGAGUGUAGAGGUGAAAUUCGUAGAUAUUCGGAAGAACACCAGUGGCGAAGGCGACACACUGGCUCACUACUGACGCUGAGGCGCGAAAGCCAGGGGAGCGAACGGG